UACGAAGGGGGCUAGCGUUGUUCGGAUUUACUGGGCGUAAAGCGCACGUAGGCGGAUCGUUAAGUCGGGGGUGAAAUCCUGGAGCUCAACUCCAGAACUGCCUUCGAUACUGAAGAGCUCGAGUCCGGGAGAGGUGAGUGGAACUGCGAGUGUAGAGGUGAAAUCGUAGAUAUUCGCAAGAACACCAGUGGCGAAGGCGGCUCACUGGCCCGGUACUGACGCUGAGGUGCGAAAGCAUGGGGAGCGA
This 247-nucleotide ribosomal RNA is filed under the name uncultured bacterium. RNAcentral's name for it is "partial 16S ribosomal RNA". It matches the Rfam family "Bacterial small subunit ribosomal RNA", at positions 524 to 771 of the family's 1533-position model. The record is from RNAcentral.